AAUAGGAAAUACGGGAGCUUGAUGAAGUCAGGCUGAGAGUGCGUCCUCGUGACGCAGACCGUUAAUCUGAACUGGAUAAUGCCAGCGGAGAGAAUUUCACGAUGCGCCUG
This 110-nucleotide non-coding RNA is filed under the name Paenibacillus swuensis. Its description in RNAcentral is "TPP sequence". It matches the Rfam family "TPP riboswitch aptamer (THI element)". Rfam says of the family: Vitamin B(1) in its active form thiamin pyrophosphate (TPP) is an essential coenzyme that is synthesised by coupling of pyrimidine and thiazole moieties in bacteria. Lineage: Bacteria; Bacillati; Bacillota; Bacilli; Caryophanales; Paenibacillaceae. The record is from Rfam by way of RNAcentral.